Molecule: long non-coding RNA, 217 nt
Filed under: Pan troglodytes (chimpanzee)
Lineage: Eukaryota; Metazoa; Chordata; Mammalia; Primates; Hominidae
Description: long non-coding RNA NONPTRT000699
Source: RNAcentral
AUCGCGCUACUGCACUCCAGCCUGGGCGACAGAGUAAGACUCCAUCUCAGAAAGAAAGAAAGAAAUACGGAACUAACUUGUGAUAUGUUCUGGAAUCAAAAGUACUCUUAUGAUAAAACAGGUAUGAAAGGGAAACUGGUCUCUUGUUUCUGCCCUUACUUCUACAAUCUCCCCACCCCGCAGGGUGCUGCUUUCAAAGUCAGAGGUGUCCCUCUUC